GAACAAGAAUUGCAUAAGCAUUCACCC
RNAcentral lists this non-coding RNA (27 nucleotides) under Rattus norvegicus (Norway rat). Lineage: Eukaryota; Metazoa; Chordata; Mammalia; Rodentia; Muridae. The record is from RNAcentral.